RNAcentral lists this ribosomal RNA (435 nucleotides) under uncultured bacterium. RNAcentral's name for it is "partial 16S ribosomal RNA". It matches the Rfam family "Bacterial small subunit ribosomal RNA", at positions 29 to 507 of the family's 1533-position model. The record is from RNAcentral.
AGCGAACGCUGGCGGCAGGCUUAACACAUGCAAGUCGAGCGGGCAUCUUCGGAUGUCAGCGGCAGACGGGUGAGUAACACGUGGGAACGUACCCUUCGGUUCGGAACAACUCUGGGAAACUGGAGCUAAUACCGGAUACGCCCUUAUGGGGAAAGGUUUACUGCCGAAGGAUCGGCCCGCGUCUGAUUAGCUAGUUGGUGGGGUAACGGCCUACCAAGGCGACGAUCAGUAGCUGGUCUGAGAGGAUGAUCAGCCACACUGGGACUGAGACACGGCCCAGACUCCUACGGGAGGCAGCAGUGGGGAAUAUUGGACAAUGGGCGCAAGCCUGAUCCAGCCAUGCCGCGUGAGUGAUGAAGGCCUUAGGGUUGUAAAGCUCUUUUGUCCGGGACGAUAAUGGCGGUACCGGAAGAAUAAGCCCCGGCUAACUUCGUG